This 468-nucleotide ribosomal RNA is filed under the name uncultured bacterium. RNAcentral describes it as "partial 16S ribosomal RNA". It matches the Rfam family "Bacterial small subunit ribosomal RNA", at positions 28 to 507 of the family's 1533-position model. The record is from RNAcentral.
GACGAACGCUGGCGGCGUGCUUAACACAUGCAAGUCGAACGGAAAGGCCCUGCUUUUGUGGGGUGCUCGAGUGGCGAACGGGUGAGUAACACGUGAGUAACCUGCCCUUGACUUUGGGAUAACUUCAGGAAACUGGGGCUAAUACCGGAUAGGAGCUCCUGCUGCAUGGUGGGGGUUGGAAAGUUUCGGCGGUUGGGGAUGGACUCGCGGCUUAUCAGCUUGUUGGUGGGGUAGUGGCUUACCAAGGCUUUGACGGGUAGCCGGCCUGAGAGGGUGACCGGCCAAAUUGGGACUGAGAUACGGCCCAGACUCCUACGGGAGGCAGCAGUGGGGAAUAUUGCACAAUGGGCGGAAGCCUGAUGCAGCAAAGCCGCGUGCGGGAUGAAGGCCUUCGGGGUGGAAAACGCUUUCGCCUGUGACGAAGCGUGAGGGAAGGUAAUGGGUAAAGAAGCACCGGCUAACUACGUG